Molecule: long non-coding RNA, 1678 nt
Organism: Dunckerocampus dactyliophorus (ringed pipefish)
Lineage: Eukaryota; Metazoa; Chordata; Actinopteri; Syngnathiformes; Syngnathidae
Exons: 3
Source: RefSeq, a predicted model, not a curated record
GUUGUGUUAAACGAUGCCAACGCGUCAGAUAAUGAGGUUUGUGCAUUCGGAAGUGGGACCUGAAAGCAGCUUUUUUUUUAACACCGAGUGCCACUGACCUCAACGCAACCCGGACUUCCUUAUAUGGGAAUGCCCAGGCAAACUCUGUAGGCCUGCCCUCCCCCUGCUCUGCUUCGCUCUGCUCUGUUCACCAUGUUAGCACGUAUGGCUCCCAGGAAAUGUUUGUACGGGUGCGCUUAAAGAGGCGAGCAUCAGGCAGAAGUGGUUGGAGUUGCUGAUUCCCGGCCAGCACCGGCAUUUCACACGGGACUGCUUUGUGAACAUGGGUCAAUACGAAGCUAAUUGUUGCUCAAGUCCGACGCCUGUCCAACGUUACUUGGUCGUGUUGAAGAGUCAGAAGAGCAAGCUGUGAGUAACAGUUUAGCAGUGUCCUAACUGUGUUUAUUUUGUGUAGGUAAGCGGACAAAAGGGGUUCGGCAGCUGUGACCAAUCACAGCGGAGCGGUCUCGGCGGGAGGCAGGAAACCCGAGGAAACACUGCAGGAAGAGCUGGGAUACAACCUGCACCUUCUGCCUUUAAAGGCAGCAGCUGUACCUUUACACCAGCAGGAACCAACCGGUGAACAGUGAAGCACCUUAAAGAUGGCCGCCACCCAGCAAGAAGACCAAGCUCGCCCUCUAGUGGCUGCAAACGGAACAGGACAGGAAUGGAACGGCCUUUCCCCCUGAGUGCUCGAUGACUUUGUUUCAUUCUUUACUUUUAAACAUCAUUUUACUCCUGAGGCGGAUAGUUUGACACAUUUGUGACUUCAAAAGUCUACAAAAAUGAAGAGAAGGGGCCAUAAUAGUAUGUAUUUUGUCUUGUUUUGAAAGUGAUAGUGUAGGCCCGUGAGGUAAAAUGCAGAUAAAACAGGUUCGUUCUUGCUCGUCCCAGACUCUUACCUGUGUGACUGCUCAUGGAAAACAAACCUAAGACACUUAGUUUCUCACGCGCGCACACUUCCUUCCUCCAGGCUGACUUUUCUCAGCCAAUCCUGCAGCGCUUUCAUGCAAAUCCCUCCUGGAAUGUCGAACCCACAUGAGAACCACAACUCAUUUGGGCCCGGAUUACUUUUUCUUUUUUUUUUUUUAAAGACUUCAUCCUGAUCCUUGUUGGACUCAACACGCUGGCGGCCAUCUUUUUUCAAACCCGACUUUAGUCGACUACUUUUUUUGGACAGGAAAUGAGAAAACCUGAACAUGUCUCACAAACACAUCCUGGUCUAAAAAGCACUCUCUGACAAGUCUUCCAAUAUGCUAAGCACACUGACCAAAAGUCCUGUCUUCCCAGGACAUGCUCUGUUCCUGUUUUGGCUGUCCUGGAUUUUACUCUUUUUUUUUUUAAGAAAGUGAUGAAAAUAUCCUGAUUUUUCAUCUCAUUUUGUAGGUUGGAACAAGGAGGAGGGCGGCAACCCCUCGGCCCGGGCCCCAGGGGGCCCUGUAGCCUGGUGUUUUUGCACUGUAAUACUUCAUACCCGUUUGAUGGACUCCAAAUUGCACAGUGGCUCUCGUGGUGCCGCUGUGUAUGUUGUAAAACGAUGUGAUCAUGAGCUUUAUUAUUUGGGUUGAAAGGGCCCACCCCCGGCCCAGCUGUGAUUUGUUCCGCUAGUGCAGCGGUCGUCAACCUUUUUACAACCAAA